AGCACAAAACAAUCAUCGGGCUUGCCCCUGUGCAACUAGGCUGUGCACCAGGCCGGGCCGCCACCGAGUACCCGAAGCCUGACCCGAGCCUGGAUACUGUAGUGUCGAGAUGGGGCCUGCAUGAACAGACCCGGCCCGGCCUGGUGCCCAUUGAAGUCAGGUACCGGGCAAACGACCAAGCCCGUUGGGGGCCUGUAAGCCUGCGACGGGGGUUAGGGUUUUUCUUUUUCACUGGAAAGAGAAAGAGAGUUGUGCAAGUUUGGACUUGAGAGUCCACCGGACCGCCACUGCCACAACCACUGCGGACAUCGCCGACUCACCGUUUGUUGUUCGGCAUCCACUGUCGCCGCACCGCCGGUCUGCGACCGCCACCAUUGCGCAAAAUGCCGCAUGCUAUGCAGCUGCAAGCCACCACGGUACGCCAUCGUCCGCCACUUCUGAGUCGUUCGCCACCGCCACUGAAUGGUCCGCCACACGGCCGUGCCUGCGCUUUGCAUAUCUACGUCAUUGGUUUGGAGUCCGGUGAUGCCAUUCUAUUUUCAGCUAAGGUAGGAGUGGGAAUAGCAAAUGUUGUUAAUGCUAAUGUGAAAAAGAUUUCACCUCCUCAAGAUACCUCAAAAGAGCCUCUCUGAGCACCCAUAUUUGACAAGCAUUUAUUAAGCUCGAAUGAAUACAUGCUGCGUAACAUCUUUCGUGAUGUGGAGUCACAGAUUAACUUGUGAUAGCAUGGAAUGUUGAUGUAAAAGACUUGGAGUGUAAAUUUUGAAUAUUAAACUUGUGGUUCUAAAUCAAAGAAAGGAUUUGGUUUGUACAUCCAGUGAUCAUGGGUGAUGGAGAAAUGACGAGGAACAAGCUAUCACAGGUUGUUUCUGCAGAAAGUACAUUUGGACAGAUUGGAAGGGGAAAAGGCAGAAAAGCAAAAGAUACUAGGAAAAAAAAAAGGAAUUGAAUAACGAGAAGUUAUUGGUGAAUCAAUUUAAGAACUUUGAAGUUUAUAUGAGGCUCAGUCCAUUGUUUUUCUUAUCUAAUUCUGGGGGAAUUUUAUUAUUUAUUUUUCUUUCAUCUAGAACAUGUCAUGUGGCAGGUCAAUGGGUUAUGUAGCAUAUGAAAGUAGUACAAAUAUUUGUUAUUUGCAUUCAUGAAGCAUGAGACCACACAUUUUGGCAUCCGGUAAUUGUGGCAAAAUUCCAAUUCCUAUUGAAAAUGUAACAAAUCAUGUUGUAAUUUUUAUGAAAUAAUAUAAACGUGCUUAAGUUUUA
Nymphaea colorata (pocket water lily) is the source of this 1259-nucleotide long non-coding RNA. RefSeq lists it as uncharacterized. Lineage: Eukaryota; Viridiplantae; Streptophyta; Magnoliopsida; Nymphaeales; Nymphaeaceae. The transcript has 5 exons. The record is from RefSeq and is a predicted model, not a curated record.